This 909-nucleotide long non-coding RNA is filed under the name Zalophus californianus (California sea lion). RNAcentral's name for it is "lncRNA (ENSZCAG00015018335.1)". The record is from RNAcentral. Lineage: Eukaryota; Metazoa; Chordata; Mammalia; Carnivora; Otariidae.
AUGCUUCCGGUUGGUCCGGAAGCGUCGCCAUGGCAGGUACAGGGAGCCGCUCCGCCUGGAGUCCCGCCUCCGCGGCGUCAGGGACUUACCUGGGCGACUAGUGUUCUAGCCCCCGGCGAACCGGACGGUGCUGUCCUGGGCCUGGACCACCCUCCCUGCCGCCGCUGCCGAACUCCGGAAGGCCUGGAGGGUGAAGCUUUAGGGGAGCCCAAAUCACCGCCGACCCGUGUUGUGCAGUUUCCUGGAGGGAGCGUUCGUCGCGAGGCGCUGAAGACUAGAGCGGGGCACGCGGGGAACGAAGUCUCUGCCUGGCGGCUCCUACUCAAGCCGCUCGUCAAGGGCGUGGACCGGGAUGACGAAAGGGCGCGCCACCCAGCACGGGGGGCUCCCCGGGCCACCCCCGAGCCUACAGCGCCAGCCGGAGCGCCACCCAGCACGGGGGGCUCCCCGGGCCACCCCCGAGCCUACAGCGCCAGCCGGAGCCGGAAUCCCCAAGCCCGUUGGCGGCUCUCGGGGACCCUGCCGGAGCCUCCUUCCCGCCGCAGUUUGAAGAUUAACUCAUCUUCACCAGCGAGGAGCCCAGGAGUCAUUAAGUUCGACAUUCUGUGGGAUCGUGAGUCCUCCACGUGGAAGUCAGCACGCCUCUCCGCGGUCAGUGGCCAUGCAGAAGCUUCCGCUUGCACAGCUCUUCCUUGCUGCCUUUGCCACCAGCUCAGCAUUCAGCCUCGUUUCUCUCGUCCCAGGGACCUAAUGGUAGAGCUGCAUCCUGGUUUUGUCAGUUGUGUUUACGUCCUGAACAUCUAUAGAUGGAGACAUUUUUACUUCUCACAAAUGAGGGACACAUCAACCCACGAUGCUCACAUCUCUGGCUUGGAGAGCCAGUCUUGCUCCACCAGAGUCCCCAGAUGA